AAGCCUCUCCCUCCACCAGUGCCGGUAUACAAGAAGCCGGUCCCUCCCCCCGUCCCGGUCUACAAGAAGCCUCACCCUCCGCCCGUCCCAAUCUACAAGAAACCUCUCCCUCCACCUGUCCCAGUCUAUAAGAAGCCUAACCCUCCACCAGUCCCAGUAUACAAGAAACCUUACCCUCCACCAACACCAAUCUACAAGAAACCUCUCCCUCCUCCCGUCCCAGUCUAUAAGAAGCCUAACCCUCCACCAGUCCCAGUAUACAAGAAACCUUGCCCUCCACCAAAACCAAUCUACAAGAAACCUCUCCCUCCACCUGUCCCAAUCUAUAAGAAGCCUCUUCCACCACCAGUUCCAGUAUACAAGAAGCCACUUCCACCACUAGUCCCC
Molecule: long non-coding RNA, 387 nt
Filed under: Malus domestica (apple)
Lineage: Eukaryota; Viridiplantae; Streptophyta; Magnoliopsida; Rosales; Rosaceae
Description: long non-coding RNA (MDOM_LNC004855)
Source: RNAcentral